AAGAAGACCGGAACUUAGCCUUUCUGGCUCUCAAGCUGUCCCUGGUGUGGGAACGGGAUGCAAAGUACAAAUGGAAAGGAUAGAUCAUGAAGGAAAAAAUGGACACGCUUUUACUGAGAAGGAAGAGAUCCUGGAUGAGAUGCACGUGAGGAUGGUCACUGCCAGGACCAAGAUGCUGCUAAUGUAUACUGGAAUAGCCCCAUGGUUUACCUGUGAUUGGCAUCCAUCCUGACUGGUCUGUGCCUAUGCUCUCACUUGUUAUACAUUUUAAAUAUCAUCUCUGUCAACUUCCAGUGAAAACGUUAGGGAGUCAAGAUAUGUCCUCAACCAGUGAGAGCAAUCCCUGCUUUGAAAGCACUUUUGCACCAAUGAAAUAUAAAUAUAUAAACAAAUAAAUUCCAAAAAUGUAAAGCCAUUAUUUCAAAUGAUUUUAAAUGGCCAAACUGAAUGUUUUGGCAGCUUGGUGACUUUAUGGAAAAAAAUAAAUUGCUGAUGAAUUGG
Molecule: long non-coding RNA, 501 nt
Filed under: Homo sapiens (human)
Lineage: Eukaryota; Metazoa; Chordata; Mammalia; Primates; Hominidae
Description: non-protein coding lnc-MLANA-1:2
Source: RNAcentral